GACGUAGGAGCCAAGCGUUAUCCGAAUUCACUGGGCGUAAAGCGCGUGCAGGCGGCUCGGUAAGUUGGAUGUGAAAGCUCCUGGCUCAACUGGGAGAGGACGUUCAAUACUGUCGGGCUAGAGGACGGUAGAGGGAGGUGGAAUUCCCGGUGUAGUGGUGUAAUGCGUAGAUAUCGGGAGGAACACCAGUGGCGAAGGCGGCCUCCUGGGCCGUUCCUGACGCUCAGACGCGAAAGCUAGGGGAGCGAACGGG
Molecule: ribosomal RNA, 253 nt
Filed under: uncultured bacterium
Lineage: Bacteria
Description: partial 16S ribosomal RNA
Rfam family: Bacterial small subunit ribosomal RNA
Source: RNAcentral